This 223-nucleotide ribosomal RNA is filed under the name uncultured bacterium. RNAcentral describes it as "partial 16S ribosomal RNA". It matches the Rfam family "Bacterial small subunit ribosomal RNA", at positions 524 to 748 of the family's 1533-position model. The record is from RNAcentral.
UACAGAGGGUGCGAGCGUUGUCCGGAAUCACUGGCGUAAAGGGCGCGUAGGUGGCGCCCCAAGUCUGUGGUGAAAGCGUCGAUGCUCAACAUCGAGUCGGCCACGGAAACUGGGGCUGGAGCACUGUAGAGGCUAAUGGAAUUCCGGGUGUAGCGGUGGAAUGCGUAGAGAGUCCGGAAGAACACCGGUGGCGAAGGCGGCCUGCUGGCAGUUCUGGACACUG